CAUGCUGUGAGCACCUCUCCUCUGCCAGCCCGCUGUGCCAGGCCACCCUACAUUGGAGCCAGCUGACUUUGCACUGAAAACUCUGUGAAUGGAGCCAUGGUUUCGCUACUGGGAAAUAUUUGGACGUGGGCAAGUUCAACCCCAGGCCAGGGUUGUAAGAGACAGAUGGACAGACAAGAUCCUUGUCAAGAGCUCUUGAACCUACCCCACAAAAGAUGCCAAAGGCUUCCACAGUUGGGGAGGAAGACACCGUAUCAAGAAAAUGUAUUCUCAUUAGAG
This is a long non-coding RNA of Fukomys damarensis (Damara mole-rat), 279 nucleotides long. RefSeq lists it as uncharacterized. NCBI's taxonomy places the organism in Eukaryota, Metazoa, Chordata, Mammalia, Rodentia, Bathyergidae. The record is from RefSeq and is a predicted model, not a curated record. The transcript has 3 exons.